UACGUAGGGUGCGAGCGUUGUCCGGAAUUAUUGGGCGUAAAGAGCUCGUAGGCGGUUUGUUGCGUCGGCCGUGAAAACCUGCAGCUUAACUGUGGGCCUGCGGCCGAUACGGGCAGACUUGAGUUCGGUAGGGGAGACUGGAAUUCCUGGUGUAGCGGUGAGAUGCGCAGAUAUCAGGAGGAACACCGGUGGCGAAGGCGGGUCUCUGGGCCGAUACUGACGCUGAGGAGCGAAAGCGUGGGGAGCGAACAGG
RNAcentral lists this ribosomal RNA (253 nucleotides) under uncultured bacterium. RNAcentral's name for it is "partial 16S ribosomal RNA". It matches the Rfam family "Bacterial small subunit ribosomal RNA", at positions 524 to 776 of the family's 1533-position model. The record is from RNAcentral.